Molecule: unclassified non-coding RNA, 300 nt
Filed under: uncultured Lachnellula
Lineage: Eukaryota; Fungi; Ascomycota; Leotiomycetes; Helotiales; Hyaloscyphaceae
Description: sequence contains 5.8S rRNA gene, ITS2
Rfam family: 5.8S ribosomal RNA (bases 1-89)
Source: RNAcentral
GAUGUGUAUAAGAGCCAGGUGAAUCAUCGAAUCUUUGAACGCACAUUGCGCCCGGUGGCAUUCCGCCGGGCAUGCCUGUUCGAGCGUCAUUUAAACCAAUCCAGCCUCGUGCUUGGGUCUUGGGCCUUUCGCCUCUGGGCGGGCCUCAAAAUCAGUGGCGGCGCCUCCUGGCUCUACGCGUAGUAAUACUCCUCGCUAUAGAUGUCUGGUGGUGUCCUGCCAAAACCCCCAUAUUUUUUAAGGUUGACCUCGGAUCAGGUAGGGAUACCCGCUGAACUUAAGCAUAUCAAUAAGCGGAGG